GACGAACGCUGGCGGCGUGCUUAACACAUGCAAGUCGAACGGAAAGGCCCUGCUUUUGUGGGGUGCUCGAGUGGCGAACGGGUGAGUAACACGUGAGUAACCUGCCCUUGACUUUGGGAUAACUUCAGGAAACUGGGGCUAAUACCGGAUAGGAGCUCCUGCUGCAUGGUGGGGGUUGGAAAGUUUCGGCGGUUGGGGAUGGACUCGCGGCUUAUCAGCUUGUUGGUGGGGUAGUGGCUUACCAAGGCUUUGACGGGUAGCCGGCCUGAGAGGGGGAGCGGCCACAUUGGGACUGAGAUACGGCCCAGACUCCUACGGGAGGCAGCAGCGGGGAAUCUUGCACAAUGGGCGGAAGCCUGAUGCAGCAAUGCCGCGUGCGGGAGGACGGCCUUCGGGUUGUAAACCGAUUUCGCCUGUGACGAAGCGUUAGUGACGGUAACGGGUAAAGAAGCACCGGCUAACUACGUG
RNAcentral lists this ribosomal RNA (468 nucleotides) under uncultured bacterium. Its description in RNAcentral is "partial 16S ribosomal RNA". It matches the Rfam family "Bacterial small subunit ribosomal RNA", at positions 28 to 507 of the family's 1533-position model. The record is from RNAcentral.